GGAAAACAGCACAGCGCUGGCUUUAACGAUACUUCGCUGGUUGAACACGAAGAAUACCCGGUUCAACCAGACCAGAGGGGGGAGUGGUUGAUGAGGAGUGAUAUGUGCAUAGUAGGGAAAUGGUGUAAACCAGAGAAGUCAUCCUCGACAGAGGAGUCGCAUCUGACAGAGAAGUCAUCCUCCCCAGAGGAGGCGUAUUUGCCAGAGAGGUCAUCCUCGCCAGAGGAGUCGUAUUUGCCAGAGAGGUCAUCCUCGCCAGAGGAGUCGUGCUUACCAGAGGAGUCACUUCCGCCAGAGACAUCAACAUCGCCAGAGAAGACGCCCUCGCCAGAGAAGACAUUUUU
This 344-nucleotide long non-coding RNA is filed under the name Salvia miltiorrhiza (redroot sage). RNAcentral's name for it is "long non-coding RNA (SMIL_LNC013620)". The record is from RNAcentral. Lineage: Eukaryota; Viridiplantae; Streptophyta; Magnoliopsida; Lamiales; Lamiaceae.